RNAcentral lists this transfer-messenger RNA (349 nucleotides) under Eubacteriales bacterium. It matches the Rfam family "transfer-messenger RNA". From Rfam's summary of the family: Bacterial tmRNA, also known as 10Sa RNA or SsrA, is named for its dual tRNA and mRNA-like properties. Its role is to liberate the mRNA from a stalled ribosome. The record is from RNAcentral. Lineage: Bacteria; Bacillati; Bacillota; Clostridia; Eubacteriales.
GGGGCCGUACUGGUUUCGACGGGGAUAUGGAGAGCGGGAUAGCGGGCGGAUGCGCCUGGCAUCCUAAAAACGGGCAAUUAUAAAUUAAAGAACAGUAACAGAACUGCUCUUGUCGCUGCUUAAGCAGUGACCGUCCCGCCUGGGAGUGCCGCGGCCCGGGGCCGGGGCGUCGACAGCGGCGUCCGUGAGUACGCAAAGCUUUGAGCGUACCAUGCAUUGAUGAAGCUACCGAAUUCCGGAGUGUGAGAAGACCACGCCGGGAGGAGGGAAAGUAAAAGUCUCUCUGCGCCCGGAGAGGUUCCGCAGGAAGUAUUUUCGGACAGGGGUUCGAUUCCCCUCGGCUCCACCA